UUUCGAAUUAUUCACAAUGGACGAAAGUCUGAUGGUGCGACGCCGCGUGGGGGAUGAAGGUCUUCGGAUUGUAAACCCCUGUCGUUGAGGAGCAAAAACUGAAUUAGAUUCAGCUUGAGUUAACUCAAAAAGGAAGUAGUGGCAAACUCCGUGCCAGCAGCCGCGGUAAUACGGAGACUACGAGCGUUACUCGGAUUUACUGGGCGUAAAGGGUGUGUAGGUGGUCGAAUGUGUUAGGUGUAAAAUUUCUGGGCUCAACCCAGAAGCCGCACCUAAAACUGUUUGACUAGAGGUUUGGAGGGGCAAGCGGAAUUCCAGGUGUAGCGGUGAAAUGCGUAGAUAUCUGGAGGAACACCGAUGGCGAAGGCAGCUUGCUGGACAAAUUCUGACACUGAAACACGAAAGCGUGGGGAGCAAAAGGG
This 422-nucleotide ribosomal RNA is filed under the name uncultured bacterium. RNAcentral's name for it is "bacterial SSU rRNA". It matches the Rfam family "Bacterial small subunit ribosomal RNA", at positions 355 to 776 of the family's 1533-position model. The record is from RNAcentral.